This 253-nucleotide ribosomal RNA is filed under the name uncultured bacterium. RNAcentral's name for it is "partial 16S ribosomal RNA". It matches the Rfam family "Bacterial small subunit ribosomal RNA", at positions 524 to 776 of the family's 1533-position model. The record is from RNAcentral.
UACGUAGGGUGCAAGCGUUGUUCGGAAUCGUUGGGCGUAAAGCGCGUGUAGGCGGUUAGUUAAGUCGAUUGUGAAAUCCCUGGGCUCAACCGAGGAAGUGCAGUCGAAACUGACUAGCUAGAGGACGGCAGAGGAAGGUGGAAUUCCAAGUGUAGAGGUGAAAUUCGUAGAUAUUUGGAGGAAUACCUGUGGCGAAGGCGGCCUUCUGGACCGGUCCUGACGCUGAGACGCGAAAGCGUGGGGAGCAAACAGG